This 67-nucleotide transfer RNA is filed under the name Sitotroga cerealella. RNAcentral's name for it is "tRNA-Arg". The record is from RNAcentral. Lineage: Eukaryota; Metazoa; Arthropoda; Insecta; Lepidoptera; Gelechiidae.
AAAUAAGAAGCAAACAUGCAUUUAAUUUCGACUUAAAAGUUAGAGUAAAAUUAUUACUCCUUAUUUA